This 483-nucleotide ribosomal RNA is filed under the name uncultured bacterium. RNAcentral describes it as "partial 16S ribosomal RNA". It matches the Rfam family "Bacterial small subunit ribosomal RNA", at positions 28 to 507 of the family's 1533-position model. The record is from RNAcentral.
GACGAACGCUGGCGGCGUGCUUAACACAUGCAAGUCGAACGCUGAAGCUCAGCUUUUGUUGGGUGGAUGAGUGGCGAACGGGUGAGUAACACGUGAGUAACCUGCCCCCUUCUUUGGGAUAACGCCCGGAAACGGGUGCUAAUACUGGAUAUUCACUGGUCUUCGCAUGGGGGUUGGUGGAAAGGGUUUUUCUGGUGGGGGAUGGGCUCGCGGCCUAUCAGCUUGUUGGUGGGGUGAUGGCCUACCAAGGCUUUGACGGGUAGCCGGCCUGAGAGGGUGACCGGGCUCAUUGGGGCCUAGAUUCGGGCCAAGCUUCUACCGGGAGCAACAAGGGGGGAAAUUGGCCAAAUGGGGGAAGCCUGAUGCAGCGACGCCGCGUGAGGGAUGGAGGCCUUCGGGUUGUGAACCUCUUUCGCUCAUGGUCAAGCCGCAACAAUGGUUGUGGUGAGGGUAGUGGGUAAAGAAGCGCCGGCUAACUACGUG